Long non-coding RNA from Condylostylus longicornis, 2011 nucleotides. RefSeq lists it as uncharacterized. Lineage: Eukaryota; Metazoa; Arthropoda; Insecta; Diptera; Dolichopodidae. The transcript has 3 exons. The record is from RefSeq and is a predicted model, not a curated record.
AAAAAACGUUCACAAGACUAAGCUUAAUAUUUUUAAGCUGAAAUAACUGAGUUAAAAUUUAAUUCUAUAAGGGUCCGUAACUUAAAAUACAUACUCAAAAAAAUUUUGUACGGAUAUAGAAGAAUUAACUGUAAUUGUCGUGAUAUUAAUGUCAUGUGUAUAAUAACAUGUUAUCUUCAUUGGCAUAUGAUAAAACUAAUUACCAUACCAUACCAUAUGUUAGAUGUUACCAUAUAAUAAAAAACAUCUUAAUGCUACACAUCAAACCAUAGCUAUGACGAUUACAUCGAAUUUCACACCGAUGCGAGUCAAUGCAUCAAAAUAGCAGCUGUUCUAUUGCAACGUAGGCCUGAUGAUGGCGAAUUACAUCCUGUUCAUUAUGCAAGUAGAAAGACAACAGAAGUACAACAGUAUUUUUUGUGUUCAGUUAAUAAGACCAUAGUGAGUAGUUUGCAGAAAACGAAAAAGAGAAACGAAAAAAGAGAAACUGAAAGCCAUUGUUGAAGUUUUGAAAAUGAUCCAUACAACGAUAUCAGCACACAUCACGAUAUUUUGUACAAAACUGUACAAUGAAAAAUUAUUACAUAUAUGUAUGUAUGUAUGUAUAUUGCAUUAGACGGAAUGAAAAACUUACUUGUUCGUACUAUUCACGAAGAUGGUCAUUUUCACCAUGCUAAAAUGAAAAAACAAAAAGAAAAAUUUUACAUGAUUUAAAGAAUAGAAUCGAUUCCUGUUUAACCAAUUAUAUCUAUUGAAUUCUAGAUAAAAAAAAAAUAUAGAAAACCAGAAUGUUUUAACCAUAUUCCGGAAGGCCAUAAACCAUUAAACACUUUUCAUAUCGAUAAUUUGGGUUUGAUGACCGCUACUGAUCGAUAAAAGGGAUAUAGAUAUAUUUUAGCCAUUCUUGGUGAUUUUCCAAAAUUUUGUUGGCUGUUCCCUACAAAAAUUAUGAAUGCAGACGAUACACUGUUGAAAAGGAAAGUGAUCAUGAGAGGCCACAUAAAACUGAAUAUAGCGCAGACAAAACAAAAUUUUAGAUACAACAAAACAAUUUUGGAUAAAAACUUACAUACCUACUCUGUUUUUAAUUUAUCAUGAUAUUUUUUCAUUUCCUUAUACAUUUUGCUUUUUGCGUUUUAUGUUUCUUUUAUUUUGAUAUCUCUCCUGCUUUUGUCCAAAUAAUUAGAAAUUGAAUUUAGAGUUUUUGUAUAUCAUAUUAAAUUUGUUCUCAAAUAAUUACAUAUAUUUGAGAACAAAUUUAAUAUAAAACAUUUAUAAUAUGUGGAGAGAUUUUUGUAAAAAAUAUAUAAUUAACAAAAUCACAAUUCUUUUUUUAACGUGGUCGUAGAAUCAAACACAUCAAUUAAAAAGGCGAAAAACAUUAACUUUAAUUUUGUUUAAAUUAUUUUAUAAAGUUAGAGUUGAGAAUAAUUAGUAUAUUAUCUAAUAAUAAUAUUAUAACAAUAAUUACUGUUGUACUGUAAAAAUAAUGUAAAAUAUUUUUUUGUUUGAAUUAAUUUUUUAUUUUUUACAAUUUAAAAUUUCUGAAUCCCACAUUGGUAUGUACAUAGUACGUACAUGCAUAUCAAAAAUUUCAGUAUUUUGUGUAUCUUCAUUUACAUACGUUAAUAAAUAUUCAACAAUAAUUUUUUUCUACUUUUUUUUAAUUAAAUUUUAAAAUAUUUAUAAUUUUAUAGCGCUAAAAAAACAUUUAAACAAACUUUGCAAGAGUCGUACUUAAAUACGAACAAGGUUUCAGAUUUUUUUAUAUAUUAAAACAACAAAUAUGCUCGGUAAAUAUCAAAAUUAAAAAAAGUUUAGUGGAGUAAAUCUACGAAAAAUUUACACAAGAGUACCUAAUUUACAUAACUUGUAAAUACCACUUUUAUUUCUUUUAUUAAUUUACUGAUUUCGAUUUGAAACGAAUCCAAAGUUUUUUAAAGUAAAGUAAAUAUUUUAAAACCCAAAAAUUGUUUUUACAAUAUGCAGAUUUUCAUAAUAUGUAGGUUAA